Molecule: ribosomal RNA, 861 nt
Filed under: uncultured bacterium
Lineage: Bacteria
Description: bacterial SSU rRNA
Rfam family: Bacterial small subunit ribosomal RNA
Source: RNAcentral
AGUUGUAUCCUGGCUCAGGAUGAACGCUGGCGAGAUGCUUUACACAUGCAAGUCGUACGCGAGUCUUUGACUCGAGUGGCGGACGGGUGAGUAACACGUAAGAAUUUGCCUUUAGGAGGGGGACAACAACUGGAAACGGUUGCUAAUACCCCAUAUGCUUUCGAGUGAAAUGGAUUUUUUCCGCCUAGAGAGAAGCUUGCGGCUGAUUAGCUUGUUGGUGAGGUAAUGGCUUACCAAGGCGACGAUCAGUAUCUGGUUUGAGAGGACGAUCAGACACACUGGAACUGAGACACGGUCCAGACUCCUACGGGAGGCAGCAGUGGGGAAUUUUCCGCAAUGGGCGCAAGCCUGACGGAGCAAUCUCGCGUGAGGGAUGACUGCCUAUGGGUUGUAAACCUCUUUUUUCAGGGAGGAAUAAAUGACGUGUACCUGAAGAAUAAGCAUCGGCUAACUCCGUGCCAGCAGCCGCGGUAAUACGGAGGAUGCAAGUGUUAUCCGGAAUCACUGGGCGUAAAGCGUCUGUAGGUGGUUUAAUAAGUCAACUGUUAAAUCUUGAGGCUCAACUUCAAAAUCGCAGUCGAAACUAUUAGACUAGAGUAUAGUAGGGGUAAAGGGAAUUUCCAGUGGAGCGGUGAAAUGCGUAGAGAUUGGAAAGAACACCGAUGGCGAAGGCACUUUACUGGGCUAUUACUGACACUCAGAGACGAAAGCUAGGGUAGCAAAUGGGAUUAGAUACCCCAGUAGUCCUAGCUGUAAACAAUGGAUACUAGAUGUUGAACAGAUCGACCUGUGCAGUAUCAAAGCUAACGCGUUAAGUAUCCCGCCNGGGAAGUAUGCUCNCAAGAGUGAAACUCAAAGGAA